CUUCAAUUUUUGUUCAGUUUUGCUUUUUAAAGAUCUCUUGGUGAAAUUUGGCCUUCAGCGCUCCCGAUAAUAGGCAGCAGCAUUUCCUCUUACUCAUUUUGCAACAGCAGCAGGAGAGGUGCCAGAUGGUGGUGCUCCUGACUCCGCAUUACUUAGAGGCGCGAGCUGCCUGAGAGGAGUUACAGAUGCAGUGUGCGUACCAAAACUGAUUUUGCAGGGAGGGCUAAGAGACGUCUCUGCAAUGAAGGUGAAUCAUACAGUGGGAUGGGGGAUGCACUUUUCUCCCAGGAUUCAGCUACUAAGCCUGAUAUCGAAAGAGCUGAAUAACGGCAGCUGAGAAAAAUUCUCAGGAUUUUGCUUGUAUGCGCACGCGCGCACACACACACACUCUCACACUCUCACACUCAAAUUUUACCUUUUUUACACUUUAAUUACUGUGAGUUUUGCAUGUCAACUUUGUUUCAAAAGCUAUAGCUCCUUCCUGUUUUCUG
This 491-nucleotide long non-coding RNA is filed under the name Dromaius novaehollandiae (emu). RNAcentral describes it as "lncRNA (ENSDNVG00000006969.1)". Lineage: Eukaryota; Metazoa; Chordata; Aves; Casuariiformes; Dromaiidae. The record is from RNAcentral.